GAUGAACGCUGGCGGCGUGCUUAACACAUGCAAGUCGAACGUGAGAGGUAGCAAUAUCUUGAAAGUGGCGAACGGGUGAGUGACACGUAGGUGACCUGCCUCGGAGUGGGGGAUAACAGUUAGAAAUGACUGCUAAUACCGCAUGAUUCCACCGACUGGGGAUAGUGGGUGGAGAAAACUCUGGUGCUUAGAGAGGGGCCUGCGGCCGGUUAGCUAGGUGGUGGGGUAAAGACCUACCAAGGCGACGAACGGUAGCCGGUCCGAGAGGAAGAUCGGCCACACGGGAACUGAGACACGGUCCCGACUCCUACGGGGGGCAGCAGUGAGGAAUAUUGGGCAAUGGGCGGAAGCCUGACCCAGCAACGCCGCGUGGAGGAAUGAAGGCCUUCGGGUUGUAAACUCCUUUUGCAGGGGAGGAGGAAGGACGGUACCCUGCGAAUAAGUCACGGCUAACUACGUGCCAGCAGCCGCCGUAA
RNAcentral lists this ribosomal RNA (476 nucleotides) under uncultured bacterium. RNAcentral describes it as "partial 16S ribosomal RNA". It matches the Rfam family "Bacterial small subunit ribosomal RNA", at positions 28 to 523 of the family's 1533-position model. The record is from RNAcentral.